UGGGUUAAGUCCCGCAACGAGCGCAACCCUUAUCCUUUGUUGCCAGCGAUUAGGUCGGGAACUCAAAGGAGACUGCCAGUGAUAAACUGGAGGAAGGUGGGGAUGACGUCAAGUCAUCAUGGCCCUUACGACCAGGGCUACACACGUGCUACAAUGGCGCAUACAAAGAGAAGCGACCUCGCGAGAGCAAGCGGACCUCAUAAAGUGCGUCGUAGUCCGGAUUGGAGUCUGCAACUCGACUCCAUGAAGUCGGAAUCGCUAGUAAUCGUGGAUCAGAAUGCCACGGUGAAUACGUUCCCGGGCCUUGUACACACCGCCCGUCACACCAUGGGAGUGGGUUGCAAAAGAAGUAGGUAGCUUAACCUUCGGGAGGGCGCUUACCACUUUGUGAUUCAUGACUGGGGUGAAGUCGUAACAAGGUAACCGUAGGGGAACCUGCGGUUGGAUCACCUCCUUACCUUAAAGAA
RNAcentral lists this ribosomal RNA (467 nucleotides) under Salmonella enterica. RNAcentral's name for it is "bacterial SSU rRNA". It matches the Rfam family "Bacterial small subunit ribosomal RNA", at positions 1076 to 1533 of the family's 1533-position model. Lineage: Bacteria; Pseudomonadati; Pseudomonadota; Gammaproteobacteria; Enterobacterales; Enterobacteriaceae. The record is from RNAcentral.